Long non-coding RNA from Ananas comosus (pineapple), 790 nucleotides. RefSeq lists it as uncharacterized. The transcript is spliced from 3 exons. Lineage: Eukaryota; Viridiplantae; Streptophyta; Magnoliopsida; Poales; Bromeliaceae. The record is from RefSeq and is a predicted model, not a curated record.
UUCGGAACGGAUCGGAGCGGCAACUCCACCGACCCGAAUCCAUUUGCAUCCGGAAUCCUAAACGGAGCCUACGUGGCAAAAGCGCUUCUUAGGAAAUGGCUCCAGUCAAUUUGAAAAGGUCAAACUUGCAAACUCUUAACGAAAAAACCCAAUUAAAAAAAAAAAGACUCCAAUUUUGACCAAUUGACUUUGAAAUUCCCCUUCUCCUCGAACCCUAUACGUAUUUAUAUACCCACCCAAUCCCAAGAUCAAACACCCAAUUACAUUUGCUUUUAUUUGGAUCGAACAAAAAAGGAAAAAUCCCCCAAAAAAAGAGAAAAAUUGAGGAAUACGAUGAAUUGGAUUAGUCGAAAGGUUCAUCUCUACAACGUGACCAUGGGCCUCUACAUGCUCGAUUGGUGGGAGCGCUACCUCUUCAAUGUAUUGAUCCUUGUUCUGCUGUGGUUCAUUUGCUACAAUGGAUCAAGAUUUGCUGCCGAGUUCUACGACAGCCAUGCGAAGACAAAUUUUGGUUGGCGGCACUUCGCCAAUGGGGGCAGUAUAACAUCCUGAUCAAUAACAAGAACCCGCCGAGAGAUAGUAGAGGUUUUAAAAGUCCAUGUUCAUCGUCGAUCAUCGCGUUUCAAACCUCUUUUCUAUGUAAUUACCUCUAGUUUGUAAGCUUAUUUGUCAAAAGACGCCACGCCGCAUGAGAUAUUCAUGCUAUGUUUGUAAUCAGAAUGUCAGAUCUUAAAGGAAACUCUAUCAAAUUGUAAUCUCCUGAGCAUACUAUUUACAACACAUUACAGCU